GUGCACGGCGCGUGCUAUACAUGCAAGUCGAGCGGACCAGAAAUCCGGAGCUUGCUCUGGUUUGGUCAGCGGCGGACGGGUGAGUAACACGUGGGCAACCUGCCCGCAAGACCGGGAUAACUCCGGGAAACCGGAGCUAAUACCGGAUAACACCGAAGACCGCAUGGUCUUUGGUUGAAAGGCGGCCUUUGGCUGUCACUUGCGGAUGGGCCCGCGGCGCAUUAGCUAGUUGGUGAGGUAACGGCUCACCAAGGCGACGAUGCGUAGCCGGCCUGAGAGGGUGACCGGCCACACUGGGACUGAGACACGGCCCAGACUCCUACGGGAGGCAGCAGUAGGGAAUCUUCCGCAAUGGGCGAAAGCCUGACGGAGCGACGCCGCGUGAGCGAAGAAGGCCUUCGGGUCGUAAAGCUCUGUUGUGAGGGACGAAGGAGCGCCGUUCGAAGAGGGCGGCGCGGUGACGGUACCUCACGAGGAAGCCCCGGCUAACUACGUGCCAGCAGCCGCGGUAAUACGUAGGGGGCGAGCGUUGUCCGGAAUUAUUGGGCGUAAAGCGCGCG
RNAcentral lists this ribosomal RNA (560 nucleotides) under Geobacillus kaustophilus. Its description in RNAcentral is "bacterial SSU rRNA". It matches the Rfam family "Bacterial small subunit ribosomal RNA", at positions 35 to 571 of the family's 1533-position model. The record is from RNAcentral. Lineage: Bacteria; Bacillati; Bacillota; Bacilli; Caryophanales; Anoxybacillaceae.